GACGGGGGAUGCAAGCGUUAUCCGGACUCACUGGGCGUAAAGCGUCUGUAGGUGGUGCUGCAAGUCACUGGUGCAAAACUCUGGCUCAACCGGAGGAAAGCCAGUGAAACUGCAUGACUAGAGUGUGGGAGAGGUAGAAGGAAUUCCCUGAGUAGCGGUGAAAUGCGUAGACACAGGGAAGAACACCGGAGGCGAAAGCGUUCUACUGGAACACAACUGACCCUGAGAGACGAAAGCUAGGGGCGCGAAGGGG
This 253-nucleotide ribosomal RNA is filed under the name uncultured bacterium. RNAcentral describes it as "partial 16S ribosomal RNA". It matches the Rfam family "Bacterial small subunit ribosomal RNA", at positions 524 to 776 of the family's 1533-position model. The record is from RNAcentral.